UCUGAGUAAAAUGGGAGCCCCCAUGAGGGA
RNAcentral lists this non-coding RNA (30 nucleotides) under Homo sapiens (human). Lineage: Eukaryota; Metazoa; Chordata; Mammalia; Primates; Hominidae. The record is from RNAcentral.